CUUCUGGUAUAGAACAAGAAAAUGGGAGAACAGGGGAAGGGGAAAGAGAGUUACCAAUGGAAUCUUGGAGUAGGUUGCAGUGGAAGUCCUUUUCCUCUUGUCCUGUUCUUGAAGGUGGUGACCACUCUAGGGCCUAACCCUGGUCCAGACCAUGCAAAGAAAGAAAAAUCAAGGGAUACCAAUCAACUGG
Molecule: long non-coding RNA, 190 nt
Organism: Dromiciops gliroides (monito del monte)
Lineage: Eukaryota; Metazoa; Chordata; Mammalia; Microbiotheria; Microbiotheriidae
Exons: 3
Source: RefSeq, a predicted model, not a curated record